RNAcentral lists this ribosomal RNA (497 nucleotides) under uncultured bacterium. RNAcentral describes it as "partial 16S ribosomal RNA". It matches the Rfam family "Bacterial small subunit ribosomal RNA", at positions 28 to 507 of the family's 1533-position model. The record is from RNAcentral.
GAUGAACGCUGGGGGCGUGCCUAAUACAUGCAAGUAGAACGCUGAAGCUUGGUGCUUGCACCGAGCGGAUGAGUUGCGAACGGGUGAGUAACGCGUAGGUAACCUGCCUCUUAGCGGGGGAUAACUAUUGGAAACGAUAGCUAAUACCGCAUAAAAGUCGAUAUCGCAUGAUAUUGAUUUGAAAGGUGCAAAUGCAUCACUAAGAGAUGGACCUGCGUUGUAUUAGCUAGUUGGUGAGGUAACGGCUCACCAAGGCGACGAUACAUAGCCGACCUGAGAGGGUGAUCGGCCACACUGGGACUGAGACACGGCCCAGACUCCUACGGGAGGCAGCAGUAGGGAAUCUUCGGCAAUGGGGGCAACCCUGACCGAGCAACGCCGCGUGAGUGAAGAAGGUUUUCGGAUCGUAAAGCUCUGUUGUAAGAGAAGAACGAGUGUGAGAGUGGAAAGUUCACACUGUGACGGUAACUUACCAGAAAGGGACGGCUAACUACGUG